Long non-coding RNA from Galleria mellonella (greater wax moth), 457 nucleotides. RefSeq lists it as uncharacterized. Lineage: Eukaryota; Metazoa; Arthropoda; Insecta; Lepidoptera; Pyralidae. The transcript has 6 exons. The record is from RefSeq and is a predicted model, not a curated record.
UUGUUUUUUGUUCUUUAAAUGAAUUACCUGUGUUGUUUAUAGAUACCCGAUUUUAUUGUUAAAUAUUUCUUAAGAACACAUUAUAUAUUUUAAUGUAUAAACUACAGCUCGACUAGUUUCGCAUUAAAUUCGUAAUUCUUAGCUGCAAGCGUCUGCAGCUCGCGGUCAGCGUACUGAGGCGCGCCAGGCGCGGACUCGCAUCGCAGUCGCUCAUGGUUAGGGAUCACGUAUUGAUCCCGAAACUAGUAGAGCUUUUUAGAUCUAAUUACACAUUGUUACGCUUACUCCAGUAUACAAUUAUCCGGCAAAUGACGAAUUUAAUACAAACAAGUUGAAACAGAAGGAUAUAGAAUAUGGAGAAAGAUUAUCAAGCGUUGAAAAUGGUCCAAUGAAACUGAUGUAUGCUAUAUUUCCCGCCAGACAGAAAAUUACAAGAUGUACGACAGACAGACCAAUU